Molecule: non-coding RNA, 282 nt
Organism: Dama dama (fallow deer)
Lineage: Eukaryota; Metazoa; Chordata; Mammalia; Artiodactyla; Cervidae
Source: the annotation of a RefSeq genome assembly
AUGAGGCUGGUGGUUGGAGUAACUGUUUUUCUGACCUUGGGGAUUGUGAUUGAUGCUAAGACCACUCAGCCCAGCUCCAUGGAUUGUGUUGAAGGAGAGGAUGUAAACCUGCCUUGUAACCACUCUACCAUUGGUGGAGAUGACUAUAUACAUUGGUAUCAGCAAAAUCCCAAUCAGAGUCCACAGUAUGUCAUUCAUGGCUUACAAGGCACAGUGAACAGCAGCAUGGCCUCUCUGACCAUAGCUUCAGACAGAAAGUCCAGGUGCCCCAGGUCACCCUGA